ACUCAAAUGAAUUGACGGGGGCCCGCACAAGCGGUGGAUGAUGUGGUUCAAUUCGAUGCAACGCGAAAAACCUUACCUACCCUUGACAUGCCAGGAAGUCCGCUGAAAGGCGGAUGUGCCCGAAAGGGAGCCUGGACACAGGUGCUGCAUGGCUGUCGUCAGCUCGUGUCGUGAGAUGUUGGGUUAAGUCCCGCAACGAGCGCAACCCUUGUCAUUAGUUGCCACAUUAAGUUGGGCACUCUAAUGAGACUGCCGGUGACAAACCGGAGGAAGGUGGGGACGACGUCAAGUCCUCAUGGCCCUUAUGGGUAGGGCUACACACGUCAUACAAUGGCGCAUACAGAGGGCUGCCAACCCGCGAGGGGGAGCAAAUCCCAGAAAGUGCGUCGUAGUCCGGAUUGAAGUCUGCAACUCGACUUCAUGAAGUCGGAAUCGCUAGUAAUCGCGGAUCAGCAUGUCGCGGUGAAUACGUUCCCGGGCCUUGUACACACCGCCCGU
RNAcentral lists this ribosomal RNA (498 nucleotides) under uncultured bacterium. Its description in RNAcentral is "partial 16S ribosomal RNA". It matches the Rfam family "Bacterial small subunit ribosomal RNA", at positions 899 to 1397 of the family's 1533-position model. The record is from RNAcentral.